Molecule: ribosomal RNA, 423 nt
Filed under: uncultured bacterium
Lineage: Bacteria
Description: partial 16S ribosomal RNA
Rfam family: Bacterial small subunit ribosomal RNA
Source: RNAcentral
GAAUUUUGGACAAUGGGGGAAACCCUGAUCCAGCCAUCCCGCGUGUAUGAUGAAGGCCUUCGGGUUGUAAAGUACUUUUGUCAGAGAAGAAAAGGUACCUCCUAAUACGAGGUACUGCUGACGGUAUCUGCAGAAUAAGCACCGGCUAACUACGUGCCAGCAGCCGCGGUAAUACGUAGGGUGCAAGCGUUAAUCGGAAUUACUGGGCGUAAAGCAUGUGUAGGCGGUUCGGAAAGAAAAAUGUGAAAUCCCAGGGCUCAGCCUUGGAACUGCACUUUUAACUGCCGAGCUAGAGUAUGUCAGAGGAGAGUAGAAUUCAACGUGUAGCAGUGAAAUGCGUAGAUAUGUGGAGGAAUACCGAUGGCGAAGGCAGCCCCCUGGGAUAAUACUGACGCUCAGACACGAAAGCGUGGGGAGCAAACA